ACGGAGGGUGCGAGCGUUAAUCGGAAUCACUGGGCGUAAAGCGCACGUAGGCGGUGUCGUAAGUCGGAUGUGAAAGCCCUCGGCUCAACCGGAGAACUGCAUCCGAUACUGCGUAGCUUGAGUGCAGGAGAGGGAGACGGAAUUCCAGGUGUAGGGGUGAAAUCCGUAGAUAUCGGGAGGAACACCAGUGGCGAAGGCGGCAACCUGGCCUGAAACUGACGCUGAGGCGCGAAAGCGUGGGGAUCAAACAG
RNAcentral lists this ribosomal RNA (251 nucleotides) under uncultured prokaryote. Its description in RNAcentral is "partial 16S rRNA". It matches the Rfam family "Bacterial small subunit ribosomal RNA", at positions 525 to 775 of the family's 1533-position model. The record is from RNAcentral.